UACGGGUGGUGCAAGUGUUAUUCCUCUUGACUAGGCGUAAAGGGUGCGUAGGUCGUAAAAUUGUUUAAAAUUAACAGAAACUUUUUUUUUCACAUUUUUUCUUGAAUUUAGAAGACGAUAGUGGAACUUCAUGCAUUAGAGUUAAAAUUCGUUAUAAAACUUGAAGGAACACCAAGAGCAAAGGCAACUAUCGAUUUUAAAUUGACGCUGAGGCACGAAAGGAUGGGGAGCAAAUGGG
RNAcentral lists this ribosomal RNA (238 nucleotides) under uncultured bacterium. RNAcentral describes it as "partial 16S ribosomal RNA". It matches the Rfam family "Bacterial small subunit ribosomal RNA", at positions 524 to 776 of the family's 1533-position model. The record is from RNAcentral.